GCGGCGACAGUUCAGUGGGUAAAGCGCCAGGUGAGAACUCUGGAGCUAUUAUCCGCGCGGGUUCGAAUCCCGCCUGUGGCA
This is a non-coding RNA of Aromia moschata, 81 nucleotides long. NCBI's taxonomy places the organism in Eukaryota, Metazoa, Arthropoda, Insecta, Coleoptera, Cerambycidae. The record is from the annotation of a GenBank genome assembly.